AAUAUUCUGCUGUGUGCGUGGAAAUGGUUUAUGUUGAGCCAACAUUUAAACGUUGUGGCUGAUGUUCUCAUCAUGGAGUGUUGACUGACUAUUUUAUAGUUGGUACCAGAAGUAGUGAGGCGAUUCCACCCCUGGUAGACAGGGUUCAAAUACAUCAUUAAUACGGCACGGUGGGUAUCA
Clostridium sulfidigenes is the source of this 180-nucleotide non-coding RNA. The record is from Rfam. Lineage: Bacteria; Bacillati; Bacillota; Clostridia; Eubacteriales; Clostridiaceae.